GCCAAGUUGGGGCGUGCCUAAUAAUGCAAGUCGAGCGGACAGAAUGGGAGCUUGCUCCCUGAUGUUAGCGGCGGACGGGUGAGUAACACGUGGGUAACCUGCCUGUAAGACUGGGAUAACUCCGGGAAACCGGGGCUAAUACCGGAUGCUUGAUUGAACCGCAUGGUUCAAUUAUAAAAGGUGGCUUUUAGCUACCACUUACAGAUGGACCCGCGGCGCAUUAGCUAGUUGGUGAGGUAACGGCUCACCAAGGCAACGAUGCGUAGCCGACCUGAGAGGGUGAUCGGCCACACUGGGACUGAGACACGGCCCAGACUCCUACGGGAGGCAGCAGUAGGGAAUCUUCCGCAAUGGACGAAAGUCUGACGGAGCAACGCCGCGUGAGUGAUGAAGGUUUUCGGAUCGUAAAACUCUGUUGUUAGGGAAGAACAAGUACCGUUCGAAUAGGGCGGUACCUUGACGGUACCUAACCAGAAAGCCACGGCUAACUACGUGCCAGCAGCCGCGGUAAUACGUAGGUGGCAAGCGUUGUCCGGAAUUAUUGGGCGUAAAGCGCGCGCAGGCGGUUUCUUAAGUCUGAUGUGAAAGCCCCCGGCUCAACCGGGGAGGGUCAUUGGAAACUGGGGAACUUGAGUGCAGAAGAGGAGAGUGGAAUUCCACGUGUAGCGGUGAAAUGCGUAGAGAUGUGGAGGAACACCAGUGGCGAAGGCGACUCUCUGGUCUGUAACUGACGCUGAGGCGCGAAAGCGUGGGGAGCGAACAGGAUUAGAUACCCUGGUAGUCCACGCCGUAAACGAUGAGUGCUAAGUGUUAGAGGGUUUCCGCCCUUUAGUGCUGCAGCAAACGCAUUAAGCACUCCGCCUGGGGAGUACGGUCGCAAGACUGAAACUCAAAGGAAUUGACGGGGGCCCGCACAAGCGGUGGAGCAUGUGGUUUAAUUCGAAGCAACGCGAAGAACCUUUACCAAGUCUUGACAAUCCUCUGACAACCCUAGAGAUAGGGGCUUCCCCUUCGGGGGCAGAGUGACAGGUGGUGCAUGGUUGUCGUCAGCUCGUGUCGUGAGAUGUUGGUUAAGUCCCGCACGAGCGCUACCCUUGAUCUUAGUUGCAGCAUUCAUUGGGCACUUCUAAGGUGAACUGCCGUGACAACGGAGGAAGGUGGGAUUGACGUCAAAUCAUCCAUGCCCUCCUUAUGAGACCUGUGGGCCUU
RNAcentral lists this ribosomal RNA (1209 nucleotides) under Bacillus sp. HL37. RNAcentral's name for it is "bacterial SSU rRNA". It matches the Rfam family "Bacterial small subunit ribosomal RNA", at positions 29 to 1223 of the family's 1533-position model. The record is from RNAcentral. Lineage: Bacteria; Bacillati; Bacillota; Bacilli; Caryophanales; Bacillaceae.